RNAcentral lists this ribosomal RNA (510 nucleotides) under uncultured bacterium. Its description in RNAcentral is "partial 16S ribosomal RNA". It matches the Rfam family "Bacterial small subunit ribosomal RNA", at positions 28 to 507 of the family's 1533-position model. The record is from RNAcentral.
GACGAACGCUGGCGGCGUGCUUAACACAUGCAAGUCGAACGAAGAGCGAUGGAAGCUUGCUUCUAUCAAUCUUAGUGGCGAACGGGUGAGUAACGCGUAAUCAACCUGCCCUUCAGAGGGGGACAACAGUUGGAAACGACUGCUAAUACCGCAUACGAUCUAAUCUCGGCAUCGAGGAUAGAUGAAAGGUGGCCUCUACAUGUAAGCUAUCACUGAAGGAGGGGAUUGCGUCUGAUUAGCUAGUUGGAGGGGUAACGGCCCACCAAGGCGAUGAUCAGUAGCCGGUCUGAGAGGAUGAACGGCCACAUUGGGACUGAGACACGGCCCAGACUCCUACGGGAGGCAGCAGUGGGGAAUCUUCCGCAAUGGACGAAAGUCUGACGGAGCAACGCCGCGUGAGUGAUGACGGCCUUCGGGUUGGAAAGCUCUGUUAAUCGGGACGAAAGGCCUUCUUGCGAAUAGUGAGAAGGAUUCACGGUACCGGAAUAGAAAGCCACGGCUAACUACGUG